Molecule: long non-coding RNA, 206 nt
Filed under: Vigna radiata
Lineage: Eukaryota; Viridiplantae; Streptophyta; Magnoliopsida; Fabales; Fabaceae
Description: long non-coding RNA (VRAD_LNC011887)
Source: RNAcentral
AUCAAUGUCCAAACGCAUAUCACUAUGAGGGUCACCUAUUGAAGGAAAUUCUUGCACAUUAUAAAGUGUCUCAUAUGACACGUCAUCAAUGUCCAUGAGCAUAUACGAAGGAAAUUCCUGCACAAGAAAAUAGAGUAAUACGUAAUAAAGAAAGUAGCCUUUUAAGGACUAAGAAUUUUUUAAAAGUUAAAAGAAUGAAAUAUUAC